CCUAGAAAUCACGAGAAAAUUUCAUCGAAUACCCAAAGUUGUUGUUAAUGAGGAAAAUGCAGGAAAGUGACAGAAGUGUCCCUGUAACUGAACAACCACGACAACGAUGACUGGCGCUGUUUAACAGAGAUGCAACUUUGUUCACUUGUAGUCAUGUUUUCUCCUUAACUGUUGAUUUGUUUACAGUUUGUGUUGUGUCUCCCUCUUUUGUAUGAGGGAAGUGCAACUCAGGUAGGGGACAGAACCUAGAGCCAGAGGACAACACUGAUAUUUUACACGAUCGACAAGGUGUCACCACUUUGUCCACGACAUCGUCCAUGAUUACCGAGACGUCAUCCACGAUUGCAGAGAGUCCUCGUACAAUGAAGUUGUUCUUUCAGACCAAGACAGAGGCCUCCAGGUAAUUCACAGCUAGGUGUCACCACUUCGUCCACAAGAUCAUCCACGAUCACAGAGACAUGGUCCAUGAUCGGAGAGACAUUGUUGAGGAUGAGGGAGACAUCGUCCACGAUCAGAGGCAUUGUCCAUGAUCGCAGAGACCUUGUCAAAGAUGAGAGAGACGUUGUCCAUGAUCAGAGACAUUGUCCCAUGCUUCGUAGAGACCUUGCGAUAGAAUCGGCGGAGACGGGGGUCACCGAUUUGACGGCACUGCCCGCGAUCAUGGAAACAUUGUUAAUGAUUACAGAGACAGCGUCUAUGAUCUCAGAGACAUCGUCCACGAUCACAAAGACAUUGUCCAUGAUCGCAGAGACUUUGUCCAUAAUCUCAGAGACAUUGUCCGUGAUCACAGAGACCUAGUCCGCGAUCACAGAGAUGUAGUCCAUGAUCACAGAGAGUCUUUGACAAUGAAGUUGUUCUUUCAGACCAAGACAGAGGCCUCCAGGUGUCACCACUUCGUCCACAAGAUCAUCCACGAUCACAGAGACAUGGUCCAUGAUCGGAGAGACAUUGUUGAGGAUGAGGGAGACAUUGUCCAUGAUCAGAGGCAUUGUCCAUGAUCGCAGAGACCUUGUCAAAGAUGAGAGAGACGUUGUCCAUGAUCAGAGACAUUGUCCCAUGCUUCGUAGAGACCUUGCGAUAGAAUCGGCGGAGACGGGGGUCACCGAUUUGACGGCACUGCCCGCGAUCAUGGAAACAUUGUCAAUGAUUACAGAGACAGCGUCUAUGAUCUCAGAGACAUCGUCCACGAUCACAAAGACAUUGUCCAUGAUCGCAGAGACUUUGUCCAUAAUCUCAGAGACAUUGUCCGUGAUCACAGAGACCUAGUCCGCGAUCACAGAGAUGUAGUCCAUGAUCACAGAGAGUCUUUGACAAUGAAGUUGUUCUUUCAGACCAAGACAGAGGCCUCCAGGUGUCACCACUUCGUCCACAAGAUCAUCCACGAUCACAGAGACAUGGUCCAUGAUCGGAGAGACAUUGUUGAGGAUGAGGGAGACAUCGUCCACGAUCAGAGGCAUUGUCCAUGAUCGCAGAGACCUUGUCA
Molecule: long non-coding RNA, 1483 nt
Organism: Lates calcarifer (barramundi perch)
Lineage: Eukaryota; Metazoa; Chordata; Actinopteri; Centropomidae
Exons: 5
Source: RefSeq, a predicted model, not a curated record